AGUAUCCCCAGGCCAUCUCACCUGCCCAUCUUUUGUAUUUCUUUUUUCAGUGUUUAAAAAUGUAAAAAAAAAAAAAAAAAAAAAAUCCCUAAAUAUGGGAAACUUGACUGCAUAAUUUGUGGUAGUGGGGGACUGCAUUCGUGCUGUCCCCUG
RNAcentral lists this small nuclear RNA (153 nucleotides) under Panthera tigris altaica (Amur tiger). RNAcentral describes it as "U1 spliceosomal RNA (ENSPTIG00000000967.1)". It matches the Rfam family "U1 spliceosomal RNA", at positions 26 to 166 of the family's 166-position model. Rfam says of the family: U1 is a small nuclear RNA (snRNA) component of the spliceosome (involved in pre-mRNA splicing). Its 5' end forms complementary base pairs with the 5' splice junction, thus defining the 5' donor site of an intron. The record is from RNAcentral. Lineage: Eukaryota; Metazoa; Chordata; Mammalia; Carnivora; Felidae.